This 500-nucleotide ribosomal RNA is filed under the name uncultured bacterium. RNAcentral describes it as "partial 16S ribosomal RNA". It matches the Rfam family "Bacterial small subunit ribosomal RNA", at positions 30 to 523 of the family's 1533-position model. The record is from RNAcentral.
AUUGAGCGCUGGCGGAAUGCUUUACACAUGCAAGUCGAACGGCAGCACGGACUUCGGUCUGGUGGCGAGUGGCGAACGGGUGAGUAAUACAUCGGAACGUGCCCAGUCGUGGGGGAUAACGUAGCGAAAGCUACGCUAAUACCGCAUACGAUCUAAGGAUGAAAGCGGGGGAUCGCAAGACCUCGCGCGAUUGGAGCGGCCGAUGGCAGAUUAGGUAGUUGGUGGGGUAAAGGCUCACCAAGCCGACGAUCUGUAGCUGGUCUGAGAGGACGACCAGCCACACUGGGACUGAGACACGGCCCAGACUCCUACGGGAGGCAGCAGUGGGGAAUUUUGGACAAUGGGCGCAAGCCUGAUCCAGCCAUUCCGCGUGCAGGAUGAAGGCCCUCGGGUUGUAAACUGCUUUUGUACGGAACGAAAAGGCUCUGGUUAAUACCCGGGGCUCAUGACGGUACCGUAAGAAUAAGCACCAGCUAACUACGUGCCAGCCGCCGCGGUAA